AUUGUUGCCAUCAUAGGGGUUCCCUGGGGAAAUGCUCGGGUUUGGCUCCUCCAAGCAUCUGGGAUGGUCUGGGGCCCUGACUGGUGCAGGAAUGCUGACAGACCGGUGGACCCCCUCUGUUCCAGACCCCCCCUGCUCUGGCUCAGGUUCACCCAGAGGCUGGGUGGAAGGGGGCUCUGAAGGAAGAAAUGAGAUUAAAGUGAACUCUGCAAACGUGCUGGCCAAAACCAGCUCAGUUUGUUUUUCAUGAUGUCACUUCUAUUUUAAAAUCCAAGUUACGGAAACCAUUUACAGUGGACUUUUAACAAGACUGGAGUUUCCUGUGGGCAAGAUACUUCUAAAGAGUUACUCCUGUUAGGGUCCCAAGAAACUGUGUUCUUAAGUAUAAUAGAAAUGUCUGGGGGGUGAAUUUUUGAAAGAAAAUUGGAAGCUAGCUAUUUUUAGAAUCUUUUGGUUUUUAAAAAUAUAAUUUCAGAGAGGAGAAAAAAAUAUUUUAACUUGUAGGUAAGAGGUGUGUGAAAGUUGCUUGACAGUCUUUCAGGGGAUGAUUCAGGUAAUUAUAAAAAGGCCUGAAGUAAAGCUACUGCUGUCUUCUUAUUUAUUUAGUUGUUCAUUGAUUCCUCAGGUGAAGGAAUAGUGGCAAGAUUUUUGGCUCUGUGAUGUCCAGCAGAAUACCUUCAUUUCUGAUUUUUCAACUUUUCUGCUUAACAAACAGAGAAUUGAAAUUUGAUUGAUUGGAAGUGAUGGCUUUGUUUCCAUUUCCCUAAAUGUUUCUUAUGUGACUGUGAACUUGCUAGAGUGAAGAACUUACUUUACCUUAUAGUUACAUACCUGAAAAAAGAAUACUAGCGCUUUUGACUUUUAACAUAUAUAAUGUUUUCAUGGUAAAGCUAAGACGGAUACUUAGAAGAAAACUAGCUCUGCUCAUCAAAAAAGUGCAAAGUAUUUGCAAAGCCAAAAUUGAUGCUUACAGUUUUGCCUACAAUUUUGCAGUAAGAUGUGCCACAAAUACUCACAGUCUAAAUAACUGCUCCUUCUAAAAACUUGUGAUUUAUUACGCAUGUAUCUUUCUCUGUGCUGCACUGCUACAGUGAGUGGUGGAAAGCAAAUAGAGUACCAAAUGUGUUUAAUGGAAGGUGAAGGGGCUUGUUUGAUUAGAUUAGGGCUUCAGGUGGCCUUUAUGCCCUUUUUAGGCAAUGAGAAUUCCUGACACCAUGUUUUAAAACCUGUUUUUUAACAUUAUAUACGAGUGUCAUAUGUGCUGUGGUUUCUUUGUAGGGAAUGUUUCUGAAUGUCAUUACCAAGCAAUCUCUGUGUAGUACAGAUAUGCUAAUCAGUGCUACCAUCGUAACUUUUUAAAGGUGUCUCAUGUUAAAUAUGUUUUCAUAUUUUAAAAAACUUUUGAUUGAUAGGUAUUAAAAAAUAUGUCCAAAACUCUUUAAAUUUAAAUUUCCCGGGCCACAUGUGAUUCUAUUCCUCUUGCUGAAGUGAAGACUCAGUUACAGAAGUAGUGAGUUUUUUGCUCUCCUGCUUUAUUUUUCACUUUUUUUUGCGUGUGAACACUGUAGCUCAGGAUUUGAAAUGGCUACUUUGAUCAAAUUACAGAAACAAGUGAGACUAAGGGCUAUGACCUGAACAUUAAUUAGUGUAUUAUAAAGGAUGAGUAGUUUUCCAAUGUAAAACAUACCAAUGCAGUAAAUAAAAGGUAAUUAAUUCUGGGUGACAGCGUUUUGCAGCGAUUCACAGAGAGGAAAUGCAGCCUCUGUGAAUAUAAUGUAUGGUUAUGCAGUGCUACUCUGCGUCAGAGUAAGGGGAGCAUUAUUCUGCAGUACGCUAACUAUUCUGCUCCUUUUAAUUACCCAUUAAAACUACACCUUUUAAUAUUUCAAUGCAAAUGGACACGCAGAACUGUGGUAAUUAGCAGCAUGUUGAUGUAGGAUUCAGAUGGUGCAGCCUGGUCACAAACAAUGCUGUGUAAUCAGCUGCAGGAAAUGUUUUUCUCUUAUGAUAGUGUGUAAUGGCUUAAACUGUAGGGAAGGGCAAAACAUUGAGGCUUUAGGAAUGAGAAGUUUGCAUGCAGAUUGUGUGGCAUCUGCUGCAGCUAUCAGCUAAUUGUCCUUCAGCUGUUACACACCUGGAGAAACAAAUACCAUGAAACUAUGAAAACUGUAGGAGGUGGCAUGCGAGACCAUAGAGACACUCCUUUAGUUACUUCUGGAACAUGGCUUUGAAAAACAUAGGUGUGCUACCCUCUGCGUUUUCUGCAGCCAUUACACUCUGAUGUUCUCAGCUCUGUGGCCUCUUGCAAAAAGUCCAAGCUCUUCCAACAUGAUUGGUUUUAGUUCAGAGGAAGCCAGACACUGUUCUUUUGAUGUAAUUUACCAUGAAAUUGAGAAUUCCUCCUGGUUUUUGUUAUGUUUGAGAGAACUUUACCUAAGUUCAGCUUUGGAAUUAUGUCCUAUCAAUGUCAACUGUGGUUUACAAGUAAGCUCUAGUGUUUGUAUCAGUAAUAUUUUUUGAAAACAGACAUCCUGAAAAUAGCUGUAAAUAUAUUCCUCAUUCAGGUGUGGAUGUUGGUAGGAACUGAAAAUCUACCAUUCUUGCAAAGGCAAUUGUUAAAACCAGCUUUACUUCACAUGUAAACUUGACUGAAUGGUGUGGAUGAACCUUUAUGUGCUCAUGUCUCUUCAGUGUCUCUGAAUUAAAAUAUCACCAUAUGUAACUGUGACAGCCAGGGAGACCCUUCUUGAUGUAAACAACUGAGGUGAAGGAAUCCUGUAAGCAGGAUUCCAUGGUAUAGUUUGUAUAUAAGGCCCUUGUUUUCCUUUUACCUAAGAGGCAAUAACUUUAAAUUGACCUGUUUUUGAAGUACACUGUAACUGCAGGUUUGAAGUAAUGCAGUUAGUGCAUGUGAUGUGAGCAUCUGACCUGGAAUGUGGGCUAUUGGAGAACAAAUAACGUUUACUGUAUGUCUGAUCUGUGUUGAAUAUUUCUAUAGAGCCGAGAAAAGGGCUAGGGAGGCUAAUGAGGCUGAAUGUACAGAUGUAGCUUUUGCUCCCCAAAUACGUUACGGAUACUCUUGCUUACUUACAGAGAGUCAUUCAAGUUACCUUUUUUGUGUGCGCUCUCAACUUGAAGCAAGAAUGUAGCUGAAGAAAAGGAGAAUCCCAGAACUUCUUACAGAAAAAUGAGAGAAACUAACUUAUCUGCUUCAACACUGUCAUGAUUAACUGUUUUUUCCAAGCCAAAUGCUCAAAAAUUGUGACUGUAAAAAAAAAAAGGUUCCCUGUGGUUUCCUUGUCCGUGAGAAAUACUGUAUAGACUGUACAUCUUUUGAAGGAUGCCAAUUUCCUCUAAGUAUAAUAUUUAGUGAGCAGUUACACAGUCUGUUCUGUAUUUCUAUUUUUUUUUUUUUUUUUGGUAGUAGGAUUGACUGGAGUGCUGCUACUUAGGAGCUGUAUUUCCUAAGCCUUUCAUCAAGAUCUGGUUAAGAACAAAACUUGGGUUUUGAAGUGUUUGAGCAACUUGCUACUGCCCAAGUCAUGACACUCCCAUUUCGAAAGGACUUGGACAAGUACAAAGAUCUUGAUGAGGAUGAAAUUCUUGGCAAACUUUCGGAAGAAGAACUGAAACAACUGGAAACUGUUUUGGAUGAUCUUGACCCUGAGAACGCACUUCUCCCUGCAGGCUUCCGACAGAAAGACCAGACUGCUAAAAAGGCUUCAGGUCCCUUCGACAGGGAACGACUCCUGGCAUAUUUAGAGAAGCAGGCUCUUGAGCACAAAGACAGGGAAGACUAUGUGCCUUUUACAAGAGAAAAGAAAGGGAAAAUAUUUAUCCCCAAGCAAAAGCCUGUACAGUCUUACACAGAAGAAAAAUUCUCUCUUGAUCCAGAGCUGGAGGAAGCCUUGACCAGUGCCACAGACACAGAAUUAGGUGACCUUGCAGCUAUACUGGGAAUGUCCAACUUGAUAACAAACAAUCAGUUCUGUGAUGUAGUAGGAAGCAGUAAUGGGGUUGACAAAGACAGCUUCUCAAAUAUAGUAAAAGGUGAAAAAAUGUUGCCUGUUUUUGAUGAACCGCCAAAUCCCACAAAUGUGGAGGAGACACUGCAAAGGAUUAAAGAGAACGAUUCUCGUCUUGUUGAAGUUAAUCUAAAUAACAUUAAGAACAUACCAAUUCCAACGCUGAAAGAAUUUGCAAAAGCCUUAGAAACGAACACGCAUGUGAAGAAUUUUAGCCUUGCAGCCACCCGAAGCAAUGAUCCUGUUGCUGUUGCUCUUGCAGAUAUGCUGAGAGUAAACACAAAAUUGAAAAGUUUAAACAUAGAAUCAAACUUCAUCACUGGAGUUGGAAUUUUGGCACUGGUUGAUGCACUGAAAGACAAUGAAACAUUGACAGAGAUCAAAAUUGAUAAUCAGAGGCAGCAGCUGGGCACAGUUGCAGAAGUAGAAAUUGCCAAGAUGCUUGAAGAAAACACCAAGAUCCUCAAAUUUGGAUACCAUUUCACACAACAGGGACCUCGAGCCAGGGCAGCUGCAGCUAUCACAAAAAAUAAUGAUUUGGUCUGGAGUAUGCGAGUAAAAGUUUCUGCAAAUACCUUUUCAUCUCUCGAGCCCUGAAGCUACAGAGACAGGUUACUCUGAAUACCCAGUUGGGUAUUGAGCACUGAAAACUGAGAUGUUCAGUCUCUCACUUCUGUCUUUUUCGCAAGAGAAGGGUUGAAGGAGACAACUAGCAGAUCUUAUUGUCAAAACUAUGUGGAGAUUUCAAGGGUCGUCAAGGCACGCUCAUCACCGUGGGCUUUGGCAAUCUUGGACUAUAUUUACCUGGGUUAGAAGGGAAAAGACUGGAAACCCCAUUCCUUUUAAAGCAAAGCUAUAUUAAUAAUCUUUUGGUAUGCAUCACGUUUUUCAGAUUGAGACACAGUAACUGUACCAGUCUCUGUACCAUAGUUUUUGAUUGUUUUUUUAAGAACUUUUUUGUAUUCAAGACUUUGGCUGUACUUUCUACUAAAAAUGUAAUUGCAAAUCAAUGGUAUAAUUGUCUGUAGUCAAAGAAUGGGACAUUCAAGAUCAUUGGGCAGAUAAUGACCCAAUUGAAAUGUUUGUUACAAAAUCUGGGGGUGCUUAUUUACAUGGAGGGAUGUGUAUAUUCUUGAAAACAAUGUAUUGGUGAAAAGGGAUUCUUCACACAACAGUUGGACUCAUUGUGUAGAGCUGUUCAGCCUUGUUCAUAUGCACUGAAAUCUUUCACAGCUAUCUGAUUUGUAAGUCUACUUUUUUAUUUUUUAGUAGUUCUUGAUACUGUGAUUAAGUUUAAAGACAUCCCUUUAAACCAAACAGAAAUAAAUUGGCUAAGAACUUCUCCCAAGAGAUUUGAGGGACUAAUAAAGAAGUGGAAGCCUUG
Aquila chrysaetos chrysaetos is the source of this 5409-nucleotide RNA transcript. It is a transcript of the gene named tropomodulin-3, with no coding region annotated. The record is from RefSeq and is a predicted model, not a curated record. The transcript has 11 exons. Lineage: Eukaryota; Metazoa; Chordata; Aves; Accipitriformes; Accipitridae.